AUGAUUAAAGAUAGCUUGCUAUUUUUAUGAAGAGCGGCGAACGGGUGAGUAACGCGUGGGAAAUCUGCCGAGUAGCGGGGGACAACGUUUGGAAACGAACGCUAAUACCGCAUAACAAUGAGAAUCGCAUGAUUCUUAUUUAAAAGAAGCAAUUGCUUCACUACUUGAUGAUCCCGCGUUGUAUUAGCUAGUUGGUAGUGUAAAGGACUACCAAGGCGAUGAUACAUAGCCGACCUGAGAGGGUGAUCGGCCACACUGGGACUGAGACACGGCCCAGACUCCUACGGGAGGCAGCAGUAGGGAAUCUUCGGCAAUGGGGGCAACCCUGACCGAGCAACGCCGCGUGAGUGAAGAAGGUUUUCGGAUCGUAAAACUCUGUUGUUAGAGAAGAACGUUAAGUAGAGUGGAAAAUUACUUAAGUGACGGUAUCUAACCAGAAAGG
RNAcentral lists this ribosomal RNA (442 nucleotides) under Lactococcus garvieae. Its description in RNAcentral is "bacterial SSU rRNA". It matches the Rfam family "Bacterial small subunit ribosomal RNA", at positions 66 to 491 of the family's 1533-position model. The record is from RNAcentral. Lineage: Bacteria; Bacillati; Bacillota; Bacilli; Lactobacillales; Streptococcaceae.